This 2901-nucleotide ribosomal RNA is filed under the name Escherichia coli. RNAcentral describes it as "bacterial LSU rRNA". It matches the Rfam family "Bacterial large subunit ribosomal RNA". Lineage: Bacteria; Pseudomonadati; Pseudomonadota; Gammaproteobacteria; Enterobacterales; Enterobacteriaceae. The record is from RNAcentral.
UUAAGCGACUAAGCGUACACGGUGGAUGCCCUGGCAGUCAGAGGCGAUGAAGGACGUGCUAAUCUGCGAUAAGCGUCGGUAAGGUGAUAUGAACCGUUAUAACCGGCGAUUUCCGAAUGGGGAAACCCAGUGUGAUUCGUCACACUAUCAUUAACUGAAUCCAUAGGUUAAUGAGGCGAACCGGGGGAACUGAAACAUCUAAGUACCCCGAGGAAAAGAAAUCAACCGAGAUUCCCCCAGUAGCGGCGAGCGAACGGGGAGCAGCCCAGAGCCUGAAUCAGUGUGUGUGUUAGUGGAAGCGUCUGGAAAGGCGUGCGAUACAGGGUGACAGCCCCGUACACAAAAAUGCACAUGCUGUGAGCUCGAUGAGUAGGGCGGGACACGUGGUAUCCUGUCUGAAUAUGGGGGGACCAUCCUCCAAGGCUAAAUACUCCUGACUGACCGAUAGUGAACCAGUACCGUGAGGGAAAGGCGAAAAGAACCCCGGCGAGGGGAGUGAAAAAGAACCUGAAACCGUGUACGUACAAGCAGUGGGAGCACGCUUAGGCGUGUGACUGCGUACCUUUUGUAUAAUGGGUCAGCGACUUAUAUUCUGUAGCAAGGUUAACCGAAUAGGGGAGCCGAAGGGAAACCGAGUCUUAACUGGGCGUUAAGUUGCAGGGUAUAGACCCGAAACCCGGUGAUCUAGCCAUGGGCAGGUUGAAGGUUGGGUAACACUAACUGGAGGACCGAACCGACUAAUGUUGAAAAAUUAGCGGAUGACUUGUGGCUGGGGGUGAAAGGCCAAUCAAACCGGGAGAUAGCUGGUUCUCCCCGAAAGCUAUUUAGGUAGCGCCUCGUGAAUUCAUCUCCGGGGGUAGAGCACUGUUUCGGCAAGGGGGUCAUCCCGACUUACCAACCCGAUGCAAACUGCGAAUACCGGAGAAUGUUAUCACGGGAGACACACGGCGGGUGCUAACGUCCGUCGUGAAGAGGGAAACAACCCAGACCGCCAGCUAAGGUCCCAAAGUCAUGGUUAAGUGGGAAACGAUGUGGGAAGGCCCAGACAGCCAGGAUGUUGGCUUAGAAGCAGCCAUCAUUUAAAGAAAGCGUAAUAGCUCACUGGUCGAGUCGGCCUGCGCGGAAGAUGUAACGGGGCUAAACCAUGCACCGAAGCUGCGGCAGCGACACUAUGUGUUGUUGGGUAGGGGAGCGUUCUGUAAGCCUGUGAAGGUGUACUGUGAGGUAUGCUGGAGGUAUCAGAAGUGCGAAUGCUGACAUAAGUAACGAUAAAGCGGGUGAAAAGCCCGCUCGCCGGAAGACCAAGGGUUCCUGUCCAACGUUAAUCGGGGCAGGGUGAGUCGACCCCUAAGGCGAGGCCGAAAGGCGUAGUCGAUGGGAAACAGGUUAAUAUUCCUGUACUUGGUGUUACUGCGAAGGGGGGACGGAGAAGGCUAUGUUGGCCGGGCGACGGUUGUCCCGGUUUAAGCGUGUAGGCUGGUUUUCCAGGCAAAUCCGGAAAAUCAAGGCUGAGGCGUGAUGACGAGGCACUACGGUGCUGAAGCAACAAAUGCCCUGCUUCCAGGAAAAGCCUCUAAGCAUCAGGUAACAUCAAAUCGUACCCCAAACCGACACAGGUGGUCAGGUAGAGAAUACCAAGGCGCUUGAGAGAACUCGGGUGAAGGAACUAGGCAAAAUGGUGCCGUAACUUCGGGAGAAGGCACGCUGAUAUGUAGGUGAAGUCCCUCGCGGAUGGAGCUGAAAUCAGUCGAAGAUACCAGCUGGCUGCAACUGUUUAUUAAAAACACAGCACUGUGCAAACACGAAAGUGGACGUAUACGGUGUGACGCCUGCCCGGUGCCGGAAGGUUAAUUGAUGGGGUUAGCGCAAGCGAAGCUCUUGAUCGAAGCCCCGGUAAACGGCGGCCGUAACUAUAACGGUCCUAAGGUAGCGAAAUUCCUUGUCGGGUAAGUUCCGACCUGCACGAAUGGCGUAAUGAUGGCCAGGCUGUCUCCACCCGAGACUCAGUGAAAUUGAACUCGCUGUGAAGAUGCAGUGUACCCGCGGCAAGACGGAAAGACCCCGUGAACCUUUACUAUAGCUUGACACUGAACAUUGAGCCUUGAUGUGUAGGAUAGGUGGGAGGCUUUGAAGUGUGGACGCCAGUCUGCAUGGAGCCGGCCUUGAAAUACCACCCUUUAAUGUUUGAUGUUCUAACGUUGACCCGUGAUCCGGGUUGCGGACAGUGUCUGGUGGGUAGUUUGACUGGGGCGGUCUCCUCCUAAAGAGUAACGGAGGAGCACGAAGGUUGGCUAAUCCUGGUCGGACAUCAGGAGGUUAGUGCAAUGGCAUAAGCCAGCUUGACUGCGAGCGUGACGGCGCGAGCAGGUGCGAAAGCAGGUCAUAGUGAUCCGGUGGUUCUGAAUGGAAGGGCCAUCGCUCAACGGAUAAAAGGUACUCCGGGGAUAACAGGCUGAUACCGCCCAAGAGUUCAUAUCGACGGCGGUGUUUGGCACCUCGAUGUCGGCUCAUCACAUCCUGGGGCUGAAGUAGGUCCCAAGGGUAUGGCUGUUCGCCAUUUAAAGUGGUACGCGAGCUGGGUUUAGAACGUCGUGAGACAGUUCGGUCCCUAUCUGCCGUGGGCGCUGGAGAACUGAGGGGGGCUGCUCCUAGUACGAGAGGACCGGAGUGGACGCAUCACUGGUGUUCGGGUUGUCAUGCCAAUGGCACUGCCCGGUAGCUAAAUGCGGAAGAGAUAAGUGCUGAAAGCAUCUAAGCACGAAACUUGCCCCGAGAUGAGUUCUCCCUGACUCCUUGAGAGUCCUGAAGGAACGUUGAAGACGACGACGUUGAUAGGCCGGGUGUGUAAGCGCAGCGAUGCGUUGAGCUAACCGGUACUAAUGAACCGUGAGGCUUAACCUU